This 893-nucleotide ribosomal RNA is filed under the name Xylaria arbuscula. Its description in RNAcentral is "partial large subunit ribosomal RNA". It matches the Rfam family "Eukaryotic large subunit ribosomal RNA", at positions 64 to 982 of the family's 3401-position model. The record is from RNAcentral. Lineage: Eukaryota; Fungi; Ascomycota; Sordariomycetes; Xylariales; Xylariaceae.
ACCAACAGGGAUUGCCCUAGUAACGGCGAGUGAAGCGGCAACAGCUCAAAUUUGAAAUCUGGCCUUCGGGUCCGAGUUGUAAUUUGUAGAGGAUGCUUUUGGCGCGGUGCCUUCCGAGUUCCCUGGAACGGGACGCCUUAGAGGGUGAGAGCCCCGUACGGUUGGACACCAAGCCUCUGUAAAGCUCCUUCGACGAGUCGAGUAGUUUGGGAAUGCUGCUCUAAAUGGGAGGUAAAUUUCUUCUAAAGCUAAAUAUUGGCCAGAGACCGAUAGCGCACAAGUAGAGUGAUCGAAAGAUGAAAAGCACUUUGAAAAGAGGGUUAAAUAGCACGUGAAAUUGUUGAAAGGGAAGCGUUUGCGACCAGACUUUUUCCUAGCGGAUCAUCCGGUGUUUUCACCGGUGCACUUUGCUAGGUUAAGGCCAGCAUCGGUUUCUGUAGGGGGAUAAAAGCUUGGGGAAUGUAGCUCCCUCGGGAGUGUUAUAGCCUCUUGCAUAAUACCCUUACGGGGACCGAGGACCGCGCUUUUGCAAGGAUGCUGGCGUAAUGGUUGUCAACGACCCGUCUUGAAACACGGACCAAGGAGUCGAACAUUUGUGCGAGUGUUUGGGUGUUAAACCCUCACGCGUAAUGAAAGUGAACGGAGGUGAGAGCCCUUACGGGUGCAUCAUCGACCGAUCCUGAUGUCUUCGGAUGGAUUUGAGUAAGAGCAUAACUGUUCGGACCCGAAAGAUGGUGAACUAUGCGUGGAUAGGGUGAAGCCAGAGGAAACUCUGGUGGAGGCUCGCAGCGGUUCUGACGUGCAAAUCGAUCGUCAAAUCUGCGCAUGGGGGCGAAAGACUUAUCGAACCAUCUAGUAGCUGGUUACCGCCGAAGUCUCCCCCUCAGAAUAUA